CUGGGAGGAUUUUGAUUUGGAGAAAUUUUGGUAGUAGAACAUUCUUUAUGGGUGAUGGACUAAUGAAUGGAAGAGCAAUGACCAAUGAAGAUGAAAGAUGAAUGGUUUGUGAUGAUGAUGAUGACGUUUUCUACUUGGAUGGGAAUGCCAUCGACUUUGCUGAAUGGAACUGGAUAAAGGAGAAGGAACUCCAAGAAACCUGGGAGUAAUGUGCAUGGAAACUUCAUCAUUCUUGCAAUGUCGUGGUUCUUAUAAAAUCAUAUGAGGCUUCAAGUUCAUUUUCUGAUGACACGACAUAAUUAUAAUGCUAUGUAAGAGGAUAUGGUAUGACAAUACAGAACAGUUUUGUCAGAAACUGGGCGAGCAGGUCAGCAUUUUUGCCUAUCAGUAAUGAUAGCAAACCCAAGAAUAGCCCCACGUACAUCCAGAUUCUGCAUGCAUGGUUAUCUUUCGGUGUGCCCCCACACAUGCAUGCA
This 476-nucleotide long non-coding RNA is filed under the name Vitis vinifera (wine grape). Its description in RNAcentral is "long non-coding RNA (VVIN_LNC005022)". The record is from RNAcentral. Lineage: Eukaryota; Viridiplantae; Streptophyta; Magnoliopsida; Vitales; Vitaceae.